GGGUAGUUUGACUGGGGCGGUCUCCUCCUAAAGAGUAACGGAGGAGUACGAAGGUGCGCUCAGACCGGUCGGAAAUCGGUCGCAGAGUAUAAAGGCAAAAGCGCGCUUGACUGCGAGACAGACACGUCGAGCAGGUACGAAAGUAGGUCUUAGUGAUCCGGUGGUUCUGUAUGGAAGGGCCAUCGCUCAACGGAUAAAAGGUACUCCGGGGAUAACAGGCUGAUACCGCCCAAGAGUUCAUAUCGACGGCGGUGUUUGGCACCUCGAUGUCGGCUCAUCACAUCCUGGGGCUGAAGCCGGUCCCAAGGGUAUGGCUGUUCGCCAUUUAAAGUGGUACGCGAGCUGGGUUUAGAACGUCGUGAGACAGUUCGGUCCCUAUCUGCCGUGGACGUUUGAGAUUUGAGAGGGGCUGCUCCUAGUACGAGAGGACCGGAGUGGACGAACCUCUGGUGUUCCGGUUGUCACGCCAGUGGCAUUGCCGGGUAGCUACGUUCGGAAGAGAUAACCGCUGAAAGCAUCUAAGCGGGAAACUUGCCUCAAGAUGAGAUCUCACUGGAGCCUUGAGCUCCCUAAAGGGCCGUCGAAGACUACGACGUUGAUAGGUUGGGUGUGUAAGCGCUGUGAGGCGUUGAGCUAACCAAUACUAAUUGCCCGUGAGGCUUGACCAUAUAACACCCAAACAAUU
This 685-nucleotide ribosomal RNA is filed under the name Stutzerimonas stutzeri. RNAcentral's name for it is "bacterial LSU rRNA". It matches the Rfam family "Bacterial large subunit ribosomal RNA", at positions 2263 to 2925 of the family's 2925-position model. Lineage: Bacteria; Pseudomonadati; Pseudomonadota; Gammaproteobacteria; Pseudomonadales; Pseudomonadaceae. The record is from RNAcentral.